GACGAACGCUGGCGGCGUGCUUAACACAUGCAAGUCGAACGAUGAAGCUAGAGCUUGCUCUGGUGGAUUAGUGGCGAACGGGUGAGUAACACGUGAGUAACCUGCCCCGAACUCUGGGAUAACUGCUGGAAACGGUAGCUAAUACCGGAUAUGACCAAUGAAGGCAUCUUCUGUUGGUGGAAAGAAUUUCGGUUCGGGAUGGACUCGCGGCCUAUCAGCUUGUUGGUGAGAUAACGGCUCACCAAGGCGACGACGGGUAGCCGGCCUGAGAGGGUGAUCGGCCACACUGGGACUGAGACACGGCCCAGACUCCUACGGGAGGCAACAGUGGGGAAUAUUGCACAAUGGGCGCAAGCCUGAUGCAGCAACGCCGCGUGAGGGACGACGGCCUUCGGGUUGUAAACCUCUUUUAGUAGGGAAGAAGCGAAAGUGACGGUACCUGCAGAAAAAGCACCGGCUAACUACGUGCCAGCCGCCGCCGUAA
Molecule: ribosomal RNA, 484 nt
Filed under: uncultured bacterium
Lineage: Bacteria
Description: partial 16S ribosomal RNA
Rfam family: Bacterial small subunit ribosomal RNA
Source: RNAcentral